Coniosporium tulheliwenetii is the source of this 109-nucleotide non-coding RNA. The record is from the annotation of a GenBank genome assembly. Lineage: Eukaryota; Fungi; Ascomycota; Dothideomycetes.
AGUCCUGUGACGCAGUGGCUAGCGUGUCGUUCUUAUAUUCUUCCCCAAGCGGGAUCAAUAUGGCCUCUGGGUUAUGCGAAAGUCGAGGGUUCGACCCCCUCCAGGACUA